UAUUCAAAUAGCUUAUGUUAGAGUAUAAUAUUGAAGAUAUUAGGGUGAUAAAUUUAUCUUUGAAU
Molecule: transfer RNA, 65 nt
Filed under: cf. Senostoma sp. LRC-2002
Lineage: Eukaryota; Metazoa; Arthropoda; Insecta; Diptera; Tachinidae
Description: tRNA-Phe
Source: RNAcentral